This 346-nucleotide unclassified non-coding RNA is filed under the name soil metagenome. RNAcentral's name for it is "partial contains 5.8S ribosomal RNA, internal transcribed spacer 2, and large subunit ribosomal RNA". The stretch from base 1 to 120 matches the Rfam family "5.8S ribosomal RNA", at positions 35 to 154 of the family's 154-position model. The record is from RNAcentral.
GAUGAAGAACGCAGCGAAAUGCGAUACGUAAUGUGAAUUGCAGAAUUCAGUGAAUCAUCGAGUCUUUGAACGCACAUUGCGCCCCCUGGUAUUCCGGGGGGCAUGCCUGUCCGAGCGUCAUUGCUGCCCUCAAGCACGGCUUGUGUGUUGGGCCUCCGUCCUCCUCCCGGGGGGCGGGCCCGAAAGGCAGCGGCGGCACCGCGUCCGGUCCUCGAGCGUAUGGGGCUUCGUCACCCGCUCCGUAGGCCCGGCCGGCGCCCGCCGGCGACCCCCCUCAAUCUUUCCAGGUUGACCUCGGAUCAGGUAGGGAUACCCGCUGAACUUAAGCAUAUCAAUAAGCGGAGGA